This is a long non-coding RNA of Hyla sarda, 1197 nucleotides long. RefSeq lists it as uncharacterized. The transcript is spliced from 3 exons. The record is from RefSeq and is a predicted model, not a curated record. Lineage: Eukaryota; Metazoa; Chordata; Amphibia; Anura; Hylidae.
GAUGGACGCCAGUCACUCUCCGGCGCCGACGAUAGUGAGGAGUGGAGGCGGUGGUUUCUGUAAUGUUCUGCGGAUCCGUGUAUAUAGAGGAUUACUUUGGAUUUGGUGGAGUACCAUGGCCGUCACGCCCCCUUCCAUAGACUUGCAUAGCGGGGGGGGGGAUGUCAAACGGAGGGCGGAGUCGUGACGUCACAGUACUCCGACCCCAUGGUCGGCACCCAGCAGUCUGUGAGCUGGCAGCACGGCAUGCAACUCAAAGAGGAUUACACGAGGCGCUGUCCUUCUGACAUCUUUCAAACAAAUUCAAGCAGAAACUGUCCAAAAACUCAAAAGUUCAAUGGAUGCAAGACUUGUGAAGCUGCUAUCAAGGGGUCCUAUGUUAAAAUGUAAGGUGACCUGUUAAAAUAUUUAAAAAGUUAAAAUGUUGUUAAAAGUUUGAUUGAAAUAGCUUUUGAUUUCAGCAAAUAUGCUGCAAACACAGACGACAAUUUUCAGUUCUUUACAACCUAUAAAGUGUUUUGAAACUUACUGGCCCUCAUUUACUAUUGCAAACCCGACAUGCUUUGCCAGGCUGUCUGCCAGAUUUUGGCGCAUUGCGCCAGAAUUUACAACAUAUUUUGCGCCAGAAUUGAGGAAAAACCCGAUAAAUUCUCCAUUUUACUGAGAGAACCUGAAAAAGGGGCGUGUCUGUCAGGAAAAAGGGGGUGUGGUGACAGAAAAAGUUCGUGUUCCCGACAUUUUCACAAAAAACUACAGAUUUACUAAGGUUUCUAUAGAAAAUUUAGGGGAUUUGAGCUGAGGAAAACCAGACAGAUCAGACAUGGGUAAAAAAAAAGAAAAAGUGCAAAAUGUAGGGAAACCUUAGUAAAUACUGUGGGAAAAAAAUUGUAGGGAAUUAAAACCCACAAAGAAAACUACACUCCACUCUUAGUAAAUCAGGGCCACUGUGGCCAGCCCUUUGUGUCAGCUAACAGAAGAAUAUGCAGGGUACAUCCCACUAUGUCGGAUUUUGCGCAGAGUAAAAUACGCUGCGUAUAAGUUGUGUGUGACCCUACCCCUAAGGUGUUAGUAUGGACUCCAGCAUUUUAUAGUGGAGCUCACCAAAAUUGUAUAAGAACUGCAAUUUUUAAUCAAUUUAAUUGCAAUGGAAGCCUACUCUGAAGUAAGUUCCUUUAUCCACUAACCCCAUCCUGACCC